UUGACGUGUAUGAUCACGUGACAUGUCUCUCUCUUCAUAAGCGAGGAAGGAGCACGCUGUGUGGAAGCACAAGUUAGACUUUUAUCACUCUGUUCAUCAUGCCGGGUUAUGGAGGAGGCGGUGGAGGACGUCGCAGAAGUGGUGGUGAUGAGGGUGAUCAUACAGAUCCCAAUUCAGAGCAGUUUAGAAAGCUGUUCAUCGGAGGACUCAGCUACGAGACAGACGAAAAGAGUCUCCGAGAACAUUUUGAAAGUUGGGGGGAGAUUGUUGACUGUGUUGUGAUGCGAGACCCAAACACAAAACGAUCUCGGGGGUUUGGAUUCAUUACAUACAAGCAUGCAGAAGGCAUAGAUCAAGCACAAGGGAAUAGACCUCACACAAUUGACGGCCGACAGGUGGAGACUAAGCGCGCCAUGCCACGAGAGGAAACUGGUUCCCAGCAAUCCGUAAAGAAAAUGUUUGUUGGUGGCAUCAAGGAAGACACGACAGAGGAUCAAGUACGGGAAACGUUCGGCAGCUUUGGACCGAUAGAAGAAGUGGACAUGAUAGUUGAUAAGGCAACAGGCAAAACGAGAGGCUUUUGCUUUGUGACUUUCGAUGAUUACGAUGCUGUUGAUAAAUGUGUUUUGAAGAAACGCCACAAACUGAAUGGGCGGAGCGUUGAAGUGAAAAAGGCAAUAUCUAAAACAGAAAUGAAUGCUGGUGGUGGAGGUGGGGGAUCACGAAGAGGAAGCAGAGGCGGUGGGCCAGUGAGAGGUCCAGGAGGGCGUGGAGACUUUGGUGGUUUUGGAGGAGGUGGCAGCAGCAGUGAUUAUGGAGGAGGUUAUAGUCAAGGAGGUUACGGAGGAGGUGGUUACGGAGGAUCCGACUAUGGUGGCGGUUAUGGAGGUGGUGGCAGUGGCUACAGUGACUAUGGUGGUGGCUAUGGAGGUGGUGGAAACUGGGGAGGCAGUGGUGGUGGUGGAGGAGGAGGAGGAAGUGGCUUUGGGUCUAACUAUGGCAGUAGCUACAGUGGGGGGCCCGUGAGAGGAGGCAACUAUAUGUCACGUGGUCCAGGACCUUACGGUGGUGGCUAUGGCAGUGGUGGUGGUGGAGGAGGAGGAGGUGGUUUUGGGGGUGGAGCAGGAGGGUAUGGUCGUCGCUGAAUAUCUUGCUGCCAUCAGCAUCUGUAACAGAUAUUACCACUUCUGCAUGUAGUCAACAAAGAGUUGGGAGUUGGAAUUGGCCAAGCAUUGAGGAGAGGAAACUGCAUGCAUCAAAGAAUGGGCACUUGCAAUUAGGACUGGUCACCAUCCUUCAGGUUUAAAAAAUGUAGAGCAAUAUUGGUCAAUGUUUUAAAUGUCUGCAAACUGAGCCCAAGGGCUUUUGCUCCUGAUAAGAUUA
Molecule: unclassified non-coding RNA, 1383 nt
Filed under: Pomacea canaliculata
Lineage: Eukaryota; Metazoa; Mollusca; Gastropoda; Architaenioglossa; Ampullariidae
Description: heterogeneous nuclear ribonucleoprotein A3-like, transcript variant X2
Source: RNAcentral